GAUGAACGCUGGCGGCGUGCCUAAUACAUGCAAGUCGAGCGAACAGACGCGGAGCUUGCUCCUCUGACGUUAGCGGCAGACGGGUGAGUAACACGUGGAUCACCUACCUAUAAUACUGGGAUAACUUCGGGAAACCGGAGCUAAUACCGGAUAAUAUAUUGAACCGCAUGGUUCAAUAGUGAAAGACGGUUUUGCUGUCACUUAUAGAUGCAUCCGCGCCGCUUUAGCUAGUUGGUAAGGUAACGGCUUACCAAGGCGACGAUGCGUAGCCGACCUGAGAGGGUGAUCGGCCACACUGGAACUGAGACACGGUCCAGACUCCUACGGGAGGCAGCAGUAGGGAAUCUUACGCAAUGGGCGAAAGCCUGACGGAGCAACGCCGCGUGAGUGAUGAAGGUCUUCGGAUCGUAAAACUCUGUUAUUAGGGAAGAACAAAUGUGUAAGUAACUAUGCACGUCUUGACGGUACCUAAUCAGAAAGCCACGGCUAACUACGUG
Molecule: ribosomal RNA, 497 nt
Filed under: uncultured bacterium
Lineage: Bacteria
Description: partial 16S ribosomal RNA
Rfam family: Bacterial small subunit ribosomal RNA
Source: RNAcentral